Long non-coding RNA from Pseudoliparis swirei, 412 nucleotides. RefSeq lists it as uncharacterized. The record is from RefSeq and is a predicted model, not a curated record. The transcript has 3 exons. Lineage: Eukaryota; Metazoa; Chordata; Actinopteri; Perciformes; Liparidae.
CUGACUUCUGCGCCUCGACUUUCCAAACUGGUAUUUUCAAACCUGCAGCUCUUCGCGCCAGACGUACUACUUAGGAUGUUCCAUUUGAUUGAAUUCUUGGACAGCAAAACAGUCGCAGUCGUGCCACAAAGCUGGUACGGUGGUGGUGGCUGCGUUUGGCCGAAUUACCCGAGGGACGAAAGGGUGGACAAGGCGGUCCGAAGUGCCGAAGAACCUCAACCUGACUGGCAGACACAUGAUGUCAGAAUAAUUAGAUCAUGCGAUGAUUACUUGGUGGCAAGGCGAUGGUUAAAAAAAUACUUGUCCUGUGGCACAUCCGAUCUCCAUUCAGAAGAGGAGGCAAUUCCUAAAAGGAGAAAGCCAAUGCCUGUGUGAGUAAAUGUGUAUACAUUUUAUUCUUUAGAACUCUUUU